UCAGCUCGUGCCGUGAGGUGUCGGGUUAAGUCCAUAACGAGCCGCAACCCCUACCUUUAGUUGCCAUCAGGUAAUGCUGGGGACUCUAAAGGAACUGCCUACGCAAGUAGUGAGGAAGGCGGGGAUGGACGUCAAAUCAGCACGGCCCUUACGUCCAGGGCUACACACGUGCUACAAUGGCCGAUACAGAGGGCAGCUACCUGGUGACAGGAUGCAAAUCUACCAAAGUCGGUCUCAGUUCGGAUCGGAGUCUGCAACCCGACUCCGUGAAGUUGGAUUCGCUAGUAAUCGCGCAUCAGCCAUGGCGCGGUGAAUACGUUCCCGGGCCUU
RNAcentral lists this ribosomal RNA (330 nucleotides) under uncultured Sphingobacteriales bacterium. Its description in RNAcentral is "bacterial SSU rRNA". It matches the Rfam family "Bacterial small subunit ribosomal RNA", at positions 1055 to 1382 of the family's 1533-position model. The record is from RNAcentral. Lineage: Bacteria; Pseudomonadati; Bacteroidota; Sphingobacteriia; Sphingobacteriales.